UUUUUUCGACCUGCUGGAUCUAACGAUGAGGAGUUCAACGAUGUGCAGAUUGAUGAGGAGGAUCCCAUCCAAGAAAGCGUGAGGUGGCUGGCUCUAGCUAGGGUUCACACUGAUAAAACCUUCUCCCCGUUGGCUUUCUACAAGGAUAUGAGGGCGGCCUGGAACCCGGCGCAACCAGUGCGUUUUCGUCCAGUCGGUCCCAACAGUUUCGUUGUACAGGCUUCGUGCCUUGGGGAUUGGGAACGGAUGAUGAAGCAAAGACCCUGGCUCUUCCGUAACAUGGUGGUCCUUAUAUGCGAGUAUGAUGGCUUUACCAAAGCGGACGAUGUAGUCUUUGAUCACAUGCCUAUUUGGCUCUAGAUACAUAAGCUACCGGAUCCCUACUGUAAGCAUGGGAUCGUCGAGAGGCUCCUAAAGGGGCCUGGGGAAAUCUUGGAGAUGAGAUUAAACGGCAACACACGCGGGGACUAUGUCAGGGUUAGGGUUAACCACGACAUUAAGCAGCCGCUGACGAAGUUGGUGAGCGUUGUUAGAGCUCAGGAGAGACAAGUUUACCUGGUUCGAUAUGAGAAGCUUGCUCGUUUCUGCAAAUUCUGCAGUCUAAUUGGACAUGAUCACAAGGAGUGUGGUUCUGGAGUUCACGAUGAGACGAAAAAGAAAUUUGGAGAUUGGUUGUAUGCUGAUGGGCCUAACUGUCCUUGCCCUGACCCAAACCCUACCAGGGCCAAUGAGCCACGACAAAUGAAGAACAACGGUAGCCCAAGUGCUCCGUUGGUACCUGGAGGCAAGGAAGUUGACCCCGAGACUCGGGAUACUGCCACGAGCCCUAUGAAGAACCUGGGGGUGAGUAUGGAGGUUGACAGAGAAGCUAGAAAGGGGCUGAAUAUGGACAGUGCUGGAGAUGAUGUUCUGAAUAAUGGCAGCAACUCGAAGGCGAUAUUGGCCAUCACUGAUGGCAAGGGUCGGGACUUAGGGGACAAUGCCUCCCCCUCCAGUAGCACUUCUAACAUUAAACGUGUUAAACUCAGUAUGGAUCAUGUCACAUAUGAGAUAUCGGUUUCUUCCCGAGAGGAAGACCAUCGGACACAAUGA
RNAcentral lists this ribosomal RNA (1092 nucleotides) under Triticum aestivum (bread wheat). RNAcentral's name for it is "partial small subunit ribosomal RNA". Lineage: Eukaryota; Viridiplantae; Streptophyta; Magnoliopsida; Poales; Poaceae. The record is from RNAcentral.